CCAAUCUUUAAUAUGUUAAAGUGAUAUGGAAACCUAUAAAUACAAGAAGGGGAAUAACCUGGCAUUUGUGAAACCAAUGAUAUGAGGUUUCUAUGCAAUAAGUUUUGCCAAGAACAUUUAUAAGAAUAUAAUCAUGUUUUCCUUUGCAUUUGAUAAUCAUUAAUUAUAAGUGUUGAAAAGGGUGACCAAAGGCUUCGAAAAUAGCCUAUUAGAGUGCACACGGUUAGGCACAUAGGCGUGUGUCUAGGUUAUGUGUGACACAUGGGCCACUCCCAUGGGUGUGUGGUAUGGUCGUACGUCCCCUGCACCUAAAAUUUUAAGUCAG
Molecule: long non-coding RNA, 325 nt
Filed under: Gossypium barbadense (sea-island cotton)
Lineage: Eukaryota; Viridiplantae; Streptophyta; Magnoliopsida; Malvales; Malvaceae
Description: long non-coding RNA (GBAR_LNC010558)
Source: RNAcentral